UCAACGGGACAGGAAGAGCCACACUGAGCCAGGCCUGGUCCUGCAAGGUGGACAGGCCCUCACGGUGCUGCUGGGGGCUGAGCAGUGACUUGAGCUGAGUUGGUGUGAGGUGCUUCUACCCAGCAAAGAAAUGCCAGGAAUAAGGCCAUAACUCACCCAGACAGGAUCACUACCUUCGAGACCUUGCACAGACUUGAGGAGUAUGGACCUGGGAGUCCCAGCGCCAGCUGGGCUGGCCCUGCACCAUCAACUAGCUCCAUGCCAUCCACCCUGUCAGAUCUCUGCCCAAAUCCAGCCCUUGGCCUCCAGAUCCUGAAGCUGAAAGCUUUCAGCACCUGCUCUCCCUCUGCCUCUUCCAUCCCUGUGAACAGAUGGCCCAGCUCAGGCCACUAACCUGACUUCCUGACCUCUGGCUCUAGCUUCCAGGCUGGGAGUUGGAGUGGAGGUGGACUCAUUUUUGGAAUAACCACCCUCAGGAGUCAAAAAUACAGUUUUCCAGACUGGGACCCUGUUUGGGGAGGUUUCUGAGUCCCUUGAUGUAGGCAAGAGCCAGCUUCACACACAAACGCACACGCACACACACAUGCAUGCAUGCAUGCACACACCUGGUCAGCCCUCCCCCAACAUACCAUUCCAUGUAAAUCCUCACACAUACCAUACACAUAUGGUCAAAAUACUCCAUGUAUCCCACACUCUGUGCUCACACAUUGUGCCACAUGCACAUCCAUGACUCCACCUUGCCCGAUAGAGACCCACAGUACUCGCACACACACAAACACGCAUACACAGUUACACCCUCACAACCGCACUUGCACAUCCACAUCCAUUCGCAUGCUCACUCCUUCAUACUCACACAUAAAUAUGUGUGUACCUUCAGGCCUCAUGCUCAUGCACAUUUACACACAUGCUCACUCUUACUGCCUUACACGCACAGGCACACAUCAUACAUCCUUACCCAACAGGCGCUGUUCCAAGCACUUUAUGUGAUAAGCUCACCCCGAGUAACACAACCUAUGAGGGAGGUACUGUAUCACUUCCAUUAUAUAGAUGAGGGAACUGAAGCACAGAGAGGUUAAGUCACUUGUCUAACACCACACAGCUAUUAAUGGCAGAGCUGGAAUUCAAACCCAAACCACCAGGCUCCCCAAUCCAAGCUCUUAGCCACUACAUUCCAUGGUCUCUUUGGUGGCAGAAAUAAAGGUAGUUAUUACAAUAA
Nomascus leucogenys (northern white-cheeked gibbon) is the source of this 1216-nucleotide long non-coding RNA. RefSeq lists it as uncharacterized. The record is from RefSeq and is a predicted model, not a curated record. Lineage: Eukaryota; Metazoa; Chordata; Mammalia; Primates; Hylobatidae. The transcript is spliced from 2 exons.